CAGAAAAUUUAAUUUUUUGUUCAAAGAAACCGAACUGCCCGAACUUUUGAAUUAUUAAUACGGAAGUUUGAGCUUUUUAUUGUAAAGAUGCAGACUUAGGCCCAGCCCAUACCUAAACAAACCCACAAUCCCUUACGCCUCAACAAAUAAACCUUUUAUUCGUUCAUGCCCUCUACCCCUCCCGCCUAUUGCUUUGGCCUUCUGCCUCUGGCCGAAGGGCUUUGCCCUAGGUUUUUGGCAAUUCUCCCCUUCGGACGACUCUUCGCUGUCCCCUGGCCAUCGCGAUUCUUUCUUCUCUGCAUCGUCCUUUGUCCUGGUCCUCAUCCUCUGGCCAUAGAGAUAGGAGACUCGUCCACCGCGAUUCUUCCAUCUCUGCAGAUUUGAAGCUCAAGCAAUCUUUUGCCCUAGGUAGACUCAAAGCUCAUGUAAUCUUUGCAGCAAGUUACUGGAAUUGGGACUUGGGCAAAUGAGGUAUUGGCUAUGUAGAACUGCGGCGUUUUGUUUACUUGGGCUUCUUCUAAAUUGACAAACCAAACUGAACUGAUUCAGUUCAAUUCUUCUGUCAUUUGUUCUGUUCGAAACAAAACCGACCAAUUACACACCUCCAUCGCCAUGUCAGUAUCAGUUUGAUAGUUUUACAUUAUAUUUAUUCAAAACAGAGCAUACAAAUGAGUACAGCUCUGUGGGUUAAAAACUUAAAUUAAUUAUUCAUCAUUUAGCAAA
Long non-coding RNA from Hevea brasiliensis (rubber tree), 723 nucleotides. RefSeq lists it as uncharacterized. The transcript is spliced from 2 exons. NCBI's taxonomy places the organism in Eukaryota, Viridiplantae, Streptophyta, Magnoliopsida, Malpighiales, Euphorbiaceae. The record is from RefSeq and is a predicted model, not a curated record.